ACGCGUGAGGAACCUGCCUCAAAGAGGGGGACAACAGUUGGAAACGACUGCUAAUACCGCAUAAGCCCACGGCUCGGCAUCGAGCAGAGGGAAAAGGAGCAAUCCGCUUUGAGAUGGCCUCGCGUCCGAUUAGCUAGUUGGUGAGGUAACGGCCCACCAAGGCGACGAUCGGUAGCCGGACUGAGAGGUUGAACGGCCACAUUGGGACUGAGACACGGCCCAGACUCCUACGGGAGGCAGCAGUGGGGAAUAUUGCACAAUGGGGGAAACCCUGAUGCAGCGACGCCGCGUGGAGGAAGAAGGUUUUCGGAUUGUAAACUCCUGUCGUUAGGGACGAUAAUGACGGUACCUAACAAGAAAGCACCGGCUAACUACGUGCCAGCAGCCGCGGUAAAACGUAGGGUGCAAGCGUUGUCCGGAAUUACUGGGUGUAAAGGGAGCGCAGGCGGGAAGACAAGUUGGAAGUGAAAACCAUGGGCUCAACCCAUGAAUUGCUUUCAAAACUGUUUUUCUUGAGUAGUGCAGAGGUAGAUGGAAUUCCCGGUGUAGCGGUGGAAUGCGUAGAUAUCGGGAGGAACACCAGUGGCGAAGGCGGUCUACUGGGCACCAACUGACGCUGAGGCUCGAAAGCAUGGGUAGCAAACAGGAUUA
RNAcentral lists this ribosomal RNA (651 nucleotides) under uncultured bacterium. Its description in RNAcentral is "bacterial SSU rRNA". It matches the Rfam family "Bacterial small subunit ribosomal RNA", at positions 113 to 780 of the family's 1533-position model. The record is from RNAcentral.